GAUGAACGCUAGCUACCAUUAUGGGUAUGCAAGUCGAGGGGCAGCAUGUCGGUUGCUCGUUACCGAUGAUGGCGACCGGCGCACGGGUGAGUAACGCGUAUCCAACCUACCCUUGUCCAUCGGAUAACCCGUCGAAAGGCGGCCUAACACGAUAUGCGGUUCACCGCAGGCAUCUAAGGUGAACGAAAUGUGAAGGAGAAGGAUGGGGAUGCGUCUGAUUAGCUUGUUGGCGGGGUAACGGCCCACCAAGGCGACGAUCAGUAGGGGUUCUGAGAGGAAGGUCCCCCACAUUGGAACUGAGACACGGUCCAAACUCCUACGGGAGGCAGCAGUGAGGAAUAUUGGUCAAUGGACGGGAGUCUGAACCAGCCAAGUAGCGUGCAGGACGACGGCCCUAUGGGUUGUAAACUGCUUUUAUAGGGGGAUAAAGUGUGCCACGUGUGGCAUAUUGCAGGUACCCUAUGAAUAAGGACCGGCUAAUUCCGUGCCAGCAGCCGCGGUAAUACGGAAGGUCCGGGCGUUAUCCGGAUUUAUUGGGUUUAAAGGGAGCGUAGGCCGUCUUAUAAGCGUGUUGUGAAAUGUCGGGGCUCAACCUGGGCAUUGCAGCGCGAACUGUGAGACUUGAGUGCGCAGGAAGUAGGCGGAAUUCGUCGUGUAGCGGUGAAAUGCUUAGAUAUGACGAAGAACUCCGAUUGCGAAGGCAGCCUGCUGUAGCGCAACUGACGCUGAAGCUCGAAAGCGU
RNAcentral lists this ribosomal RNA (742 nucleotides) under uncultured bacterium. RNAcentral's name for it is "bacterial SSU rRNA". It matches the Rfam family "Bacterial small subunit ribosomal RNA", at positions 28 to 762 of the family's 1533-position model. The record is from RNAcentral.